CAGAAGUCCUCCAAACAACAACACGAGAGCGCAACAAUAAUUCUUGCACUUCACUUCUUCACCGCAACACUCGCUGGACAGACACAGAAGGUUUUAUACAAUUUUUAACUGUGGCUGCGUGUGAUGUAUUCGUCAUCUCUGUGAAACGUGGCUAACCAAUGGAUAGAGGCAGAGGAGGAGGAGUUGGGAUUUAUGUUAAAAGCCAGCAUAAUGUAAAACCAUUGGAUUGCUUUUUUAUAUCGCCAGUGAUUGAACGACGUGGGAUAAGUAUUUCUAUUAACAA
This is a long non-coding RNA of Photinus pyralis (common eastern firefly), 283 nucleotides long. RefSeq lists it as uncharacterized. The transcript has 3 exons. The record is from RefSeq and is a predicted model, not a curated record. NCBI's taxonomy places the organism in Eukaryota, Metazoa, Arthropoda, Insecta, Coleoptera, Lampyridae.